UUCGGUUACGUGGCCCAUAAGGAGCAUCGGUGUGGCAAGAGUUUGAUCAUGGCUCAGAUCGAACCCUUACGGCGGAUCGCCACGCCGCAAAGUCAGGCAGCGCUGGACUUUGGUCUGGUACGCUGAUGGCGAACGGGUGAGUAAUGUAUCCGGAACGUGCCUAUUAGCGGGGGAUAACUACGCGAAAGCGUAGCUAAUACAUGCGCCCUUCCAGGAAAGCGGGGGACCUUUGGGCCUCACUUUAUUAAGAGCGGCCGAUAUCGGAUUAGCUAUAGUUGGUGGGGUAACGGCUCACCGGGCGAUCCGUAGCUGCUGGUUGAAGAUUGACCAGCCACACGGGCUGGGAACUGGCCGACUCUACGGGAGGCAGCAGUGGGGAAUUUUUUGGAUAAUCGGAAGCGAUUGUAUCGCGUAUGGCCGGUGAGUGCUAAGGUUUGUAACGCCACUGGCGGAAAAGAAACGGCACGGGAUAAUACCCCGUGCAACUGACGGCACCGCACCUGCCAGAAUAAGCAUCCAGCCAACACGUGCCAGCAGUCGCGGUAAUACGUAGGGUGCAAGCAGCGAUCGUCGGUGCACUGCAGGGCUGGCAAGCGUGCGUGCGCCUGACGGUUCAGAAGAAGAUGUGAAAUCCCAGGCUUAACUUUGGAACUGCAUUUUUAACUACCGAGCUAGAGUGUGUCAGGGAGGUGAAUUCCGCGUGUAGCAGUGAAAUGCGUAGAUAUGCGGAGGAACACCGAUGGCGAAGGCAGCCUCCUGGGAUAACACUGACUCUCAUGCGCGAAAGCGUGGGAGCAAACGGAUUAGAUACCCUGGUAGUCCACGCCUAAACGAUGUCAACUAGCUGUUAGGGCCUUCCGGGCCUUGGUAGCGCAGCUAACGCGUGAAGUUGACCGCCUGGGGAGAAUACGGUCUGCGAAGUCAAAACUCAAAGGAAUUGACGGGGACCCGCACAAGCGGUGGAUGAUGUGGAUUAAUUCAAUGCAACGCGAAAAGCCCUGCCCUUGACAUGUCUGGAAUCCCGAGGUGGGCAGGGUGCUCGCAAGAGAACCGGAACAGAUUGCUGCAUGGCUGUCGUCAGCUCAUGUCGUGGAUGUUGGGUUAAGUCCCGCAACGAGCGCAGCCCGCUGUCAUUGGUUGCUACGAAGGGCACUCUAAUGAGACUGUCGGUGACAAACCGGAGGAAGGUGGGGAUGACGUCAAGUCCUCAUGGCCCUUAUGGGUAGGGCUUCACGUCAUACAAUGGUCGGGACAGAGGGUCGCCAACCCGCGAGGGGAGCCAAUCCCAGGAAACCCGAUCGUAGUCCGGAUCGCAGUCUGCGCUCGACUGCGUGAAGUCGGAAUCGCUAGUAAUCGCGGAUCGGGACAUCGUGUCGCGGUGAAUACGUUCCCGGGUCUUGUACACACCGCCCGUCACACCAUGGGAGUGGGUUUUACCAGAAGUAGUUAGCUAACCGUAAGGAGGGCGAUUACCACGGUAGGAUUCAUGACUGGGGUGAAGUCGUAACAAGGUAA
RNAcentral lists this ribosomal RNA (1515 nucleotides) under uncultured Bordetella sp. Its description in RNAcentral is "partial 16S-23S ribosomal RNA intergenic spacer". It matches the Rfam family "Bacterial small subunit ribosomal RNA". The record is from RNAcentral. Lineage: Bacteria; Pseudomonadati; Pseudomonadota; Betaproteobacteria; Burkholderiales; Alcaligenaceae.